RNAcentral lists this long non-coding RNA (1352 nucleotides) under Oryctolagus cuniculus (rabbit). RNAcentral's name for it is "lncRNA (ENSOCUG00000035799.1)". Lineage: Eukaryota; Metazoa; Chordata; Mammalia; Lagomorpha; Leporidae. The record is from RNAcentral.
AGGGCCUAUGUCUUGCUGAUGAAGGAUCUAAAAUGCCACAGCAAAGAAGGUGUGUGUGUGUGUGUGUGUGUGUGUGAUCUAGAAAGAUUCCUCUGAGGCAUGGUUGAUGCUGGACAAGAAUGAGGUACUUGGGGCCGGUGCCGUGGCUCACUUGGCUAAUCCUCCACCUGCGUCGCCAGCAUUCCAUAUGGGUGCCGGGUUCUAGUCCCGGCUGCUCCUCUUCCAGUCCAGCUCUCUGCUGUGGAGGGCAGUGGAGGAUGGUCCAGGUGAUUGGUCCAGGUGAUUCCACCCGCAUGGGAGACCAGGAGGAAGCACCUGGCUCCUGGCUUCAGAUAGGCGUUGUUCUGGCCGUUGCGGCCAUUUGGGGAGUGAACCAAUGGAAGGAAGACCUUUCUCUCUGUCUCUCUCUCUCACUGUCUGACUCUACCUGUCAAAUAAGUAAAAAAAAUUAACUAAUUAAUUAAAAAAAAAAAAGAAUGAGGUACUUGAGGCCAGCCUUGUGGCACAGUAAGUUGCUGCCUGGGACACCAGCAACCCAUAUCCCAUAUCCGAGUAUUGGUUGGAGCCCCAGCUGCUCCCCUUCUGAUCCAGCUCCCUGUAAAAUGUGUCUCAGAUGAUGGCCCAAGUAUAUGGGUCCCUGUCACCCACGUGGAAGACCCAGAUACUGUUCUUGUUCCUGGCUUUGGCCUGGGCCAGUCCUGCCAUUGUGGGCAUUUGGGGCAUGAAUCCACAGAUGGGAGAUAUAUAUCUCUCUCACACAUACACAGAGAGAGAGAGAGAGAGAGAGUCUUUCUAAUAAACCAAUAAAUAAAAAUCUUUAAAAAAAAUAAGGUGCUGGAGGCAGUUAGAUGGUAAGUGGAGUUUCCAACAGGGCAGGUAGGUAUACAGCCACAUUUGGCGGUUGGUCACAGACGGGAGAGGGGAGAUUUCCAAGGCGAAAUGUCCUAGUCACAGGCCCCCUAAGUCCCCAAACUUCAGGGCAGAACCUCUGUGUGAGGAACUCCCCCGUCUCCCUCUUGAUUUCACAGCCACCUCUGCUGGCGCCCUCUCUCCUCGCCGCCGCCGCCAGCCCCCGCCUCUUUGCUCAGGAAGCUCGGGUCUCCCAGGGAGCGGGUCUGCCCUUGGGGGAGGCCUCUCGGUUCUGUGCCUGCAGCUGGGCUGACAGUCGGGGCGCGCGGAAGAGGGGCUUGGCGCCCCCCGCCUGCACAUGUACUAGCCCAGGCAGGAGGAAGCGCCUCGGCGGAGGAACCGGGGAAGAGGGGGAGGCAGAGGCGCGCCAGCAUCUCGGUCCCGGGCGCCCUGGUCGGCCGCGGAGGAGCUGCAGCCUCCAACAGGAAGCUGUGUGUCUCUGA